GACGAACGCUGGCGGCGUGCUUAACACAUGCAAGUCGAGCGGUAAGGCCCUUUCGGGGGUACACGAGCGGCGAACGGGUGAGUAACACGUGGGUGACCUGCCUCUAGCUCUGGGAUAAGCCCGGGAAACUGGGUCUAAUACUGGAUAUGACUCCAUGACGCAUGUUGUGGGGUGGAAAGCCUUGUGCGGCUAGAGAUGGGCCCGCGGCCUAUCAGCUUGUUGGUGGGGUGAUGGCCUACCAAGGCGACGACGGGUAGCCGGCCUGAGAGGGCGACCGGCCACACUGGGACUGAGACACGGCCCAGACUCCUACGGGAGGCAGCAGUGGGGAAUCUUGCGCAAUGGGCGAAAGCCUGACGCAGCGACGCCGCGUGAGGGAUGACGGCCUGGU
RNAcentral lists this ribosomal RNA (391 nucleotides) under uncultured bacterium. Its description in RNAcentral is "bacterial SSU rRNA". It matches the Rfam family "Bacterial small subunit ribosomal RNA", at positions 28 to 420 of the family's 1533-position model. The record is from RNAcentral.